This 300-nucleotide long non-coding RNA is filed under the name Hordeum vulgare. RNAcentral's name for it is "long non-coding RNA (HVUL_LNC013661)". Lineage: Eukaryota; Viridiplantae; Streptophyta; Magnoliopsida; Poales; Poaceae. The record is from RNAcentral.
CUCGACGGGUGGAUUUGCACAAGUCACGCGGUUUAGUGUAGUGCCUUGAUCGAUCUCAAAAGUCUUGACGUACGUUGUGAUCUAUACGGCCGGUAGUUUGGUAUAUACGGAUGAACUUGGCCGGUCCGGGCCUCUCAUUUUCUCGAAAAUGGAAGUCUGAGGUCGUCUACCGUAAUCCUUCUCUCACCAGUCAACAGUCACCAGUCACCACUAGGUAAGGGUGGUGAGCCAUUGCAUAGCAAUGUCAAUACCGCGUAUGUUAUGUUUUUCUGGAGCAGUUCAAUAGCUGCCUGUGGAAAG